GGGACUGUCGCAUAUUGGUUAAUGCUCUCUGCUUAUAACGGGGUAAACUGGGUUCAAUUCCCAGCAGUCCUA
Molecule: transfer RNA, 72 nt
Filed under: bacterium
Lineage: Bacteria
Description: tRNA-Ile
Rfam family: tRNA
About the family: Transfer RNA (tRNA) molecules are approximately 80 nucleotides in length. Their secondary structure includes four short double-helical elements and three loops (D, anti-codon, and T loops). Further hydrogen bonds mediate the characteristic L-shaped molecular structure. tRNAs have two regions of fundamental functional importance: the anti-codon, which is responsible for specific mRNA codon recognition, and the 3' end, to which the tRNAs corresponding amino acid is attached (by aminoacyl-tRNA synthetases). tRNAs cope with the degeneracy of the genetic code in two manners: having more than one tRNA (with a specific anti-codon) for a particular amino acid; and 'wobble' base-pairing, i.e. permitting non-standard base-pairing at the 3rd anti-codon position.
Source: RNAcentral